AUUGAACGCUGGCGGCAGGCCUAACACAUGCAAUUCGAACGAGUGGCGGACGGGUGAGUAAUUUCUGGGAAACUGCCUGAUGGAGGGGGCUAACUACUGUAAACGGUAGCUAAUCCCGCAUACCAUCAGAUGUGCCCAGAUGGGAUUAGCUAGUUGGUGGGGGAACGGCUCCCCAAGGCGACGCUCCCUAGCUGGUCUGAGAGGAUGACCAGCCACACUGGAACUGAGACACGGUCCAGACUCCUACGGGAGGCAGCAGUGGGGAAUAUUGCACAAUGGGCGAAAGCCUGAUGCAGCCAGGCCGCGUGUAUGAAGAAGGCCUUCGGGUUGUAAAGUACUGUCAGCGGGGAGGCGUUACCCGAAGAAGAAGCACCGGCUAACUCCGUGCCAGUCGCCGCGGUAAUAC
This 406-nucleotide ribosomal RNA is filed under the name uncultured bacterium. Its description in RNAcentral is "partial 16S ribosomal RNA". It matches the Rfam family "Bacterial small subunit ribosomal RNA", at positions 30 to 526 of the family's 1533-position model. The record is from RNAcentral.